RNAcentral lists this ribosomal RNA (497 nucleotides) under uncultured bacterium. RNAcentral describes it as "partial 16S ribosomal RNA". It matches the Rfam family "Bacterial small subunit ribosomal RNA", at positions 28 to 507 of the family's 1533-position model. The record is from RNAcentral.
GACGAACGCUGGCGGCGUGCCUAAUACAUGCAAGUUGAGCGCUGAAGGUUGGUACUUGUACCGACUGGAUGAGCAGCGAACGGGUGAGUAACGCGUGGGGAAUCUGCCUUUGAGCGGGGGACAACAUUUGGAAACGAAUGCUAAUACCGCAUAAAAACUUUAAACACAAGUUUUAAGUUUGAAAGAUGCAAUUGCAUCACUCAAAGAUGAUCCCGCGUUGUAUUAGCUAGUUGGUGAGGUAAAGGCUCACCAAGGCGAUGAUACAUAGCCGACCUGAGAGGGUGAUCGGCCACAUUGGGACUGAGACACGGCCCAAACUCCUACGGGAGGCAGCAAUAGGGAAUCUUCGGCAAUGGACGAAAGUCUGACCGAGCAACGCCGCGUGAGUGAAGAAGGUUUUCGGAUCGUAAAACUCUGUUGGUAGAGAAGAACGUUGGUGAGAGUGGAAAGCUCAUCAAGUGACGGUAACUACCCAGAAAGGGACGGCUAACUACGUG